ACACCAUACAGAGUGACACUGCAGACUUCUGGAUUCAGCAGCCUGCUUUGGUGGGCGCACUGAGAAACCUUCAAUUUCCAUGGCCCAGUUUGUGCUCCAGAUUUAUAGAUGGGACUAGAAGGGCUUCUGGUUCCUUAUCUGGCCCACCUCGUUGUGCUGUUGUGAAGAUGAAAACUCCUGCUGUAUUGAAAACGUAAGAGGGUUUGGCCCUCCAUAAAUGUGCUGUUUCUCUGCACAGCACCUUCGAGGCAGAGGCAGGAGGAUCACAGAAAGUUUGAGGCCACCCUGGAUUCCAGAGCGAAUUCAAGGCUAACUUGGGCUAUAAAUGAAGAUCUUGAUGGAAACAAAACAACGUAAAACAAAA
Mastomys coucha (southern multimammate mouse) is the source of this 364-nucleotide long non-coding RNA. RefSeq lists it as uncharacterized. The transcript has 3 exons. Lineage: Eukaryota; Metazoa; Chordata; Mammalia; Rodentia; Muridae. The record is from RefSeq and is a predicted model, not a curated record.